GUCCUGUAUCUCAGUGGUUAGAGCAUUUGCUUAGCGAGCAAAAGGACCUGGGUUCAAUUCCCGGGCAGGGAGAAACA
Molecule: non-coding RNA, 77 nt
Organism: Callorhinchus milii (elephant shark)
Lineage: Eukaryota; Metazoa; Chordata; Chondrichthyes; Chimaeriformes; Callorhinchidae
Source: the annotation of a RefSeq genome assembly